This 1586-nucleotide ribosomal RNA is filed under the name metagenome. Its description in RNAcentral is "bacterial LSU rRNA". It matches the Rfam family "Bacterial large subunit ribosomal RNA", at positions 1320 to 2925 of the family's 2925-position model. The record is from RNAcentral.
AGCCCGAAUCCCACGCACCGAUGGCCCAAGGUCUCCAGAGGAAGGCUCGUCCUCUCUGGGAUAGUCGGGACCUAAGGCGAGGCCGAAAGGCGUAGCCGAUGGACGACGGGUGGAUAUUCCCGUACCCGAUGUGUGGCGAUGGAGUGACGGAGAAGGCUCAGGCAACCAGCUGCUGGAAUAGCUGGGGCAAGCGAGAUACCUGCGCACCAGGGAAAUCCGGUGCGCGCAAGGGGAAGGCGCGAAGCAUACGGAAAGCUGCGGCAAGUACGGAAAAGCUGAGAGCAGGCUUCCAGGAAAAGCUUCUAGCACAACACGCAUCGGCCCGUACCGAAAAUGGACACACAUGGGCGAGGAGAGAAUCCUGAGGUGAGCGAGAGAACUAUAGCUAAGGAACUCUGCAAAAUGACCCCGUAACUUAGGGAGAAGGGGUGCUCCAGAAAUGGAGCCGCAGUAAAACGGCCCAAGCGACUGUUUACCAAAAACACAGCUCUCUGCGAAGGCGCAAGCCGAAGUAUAGGGGGUGACGCCUGCCCGGUGCUGGAAGGUCAAGGGGAGCUGUCAGCGCAAGCGAAGCAGCGAGCCGAAGCCCCAGUAAACGGCGGCCGUAACUAUAACGGUCCUAAGGUAGCGAAAUUCCUUGUCGGGCAAGUUCCGACCCGCACGAAAGGCGUAACGAUUUGGGCGCUGUCUCAGCUGUAGACUCGGUGAAGUCUUAGUACCUGUGAAGAUGCAGGUUGCCCGCGACUAGACGGAAAGACCCCAUGGAGCUUCACUGCAGGUUGACAUUGGGCUUGGAUGCAUGAUGUACAGGAUAGGUGGGAGGCUGUGAGCCGUGCGCGCCAGCGUACGGGGAGCCGCUGUUGGGAUACCACCCUUCAUGCAUCUAGGUCCUAACCGGAGGCAACGGGCCACGGGACAGUGUCAGUCGGGCAGUUUGACUGGGGCGGUCGCCUCCCAAAGAGUAACGGAGGCGCCCAAAGAUACCCUCAGCAUGGAUGGAAACCAUGCAUAGAGUGCAAAGGCAUAAGGGUGUCUGACUGCGAGACAUACAGGUCGAGCAGGGACGAAAGUCGGGCUUAGUGAUCCGGCGGAUCCGAAUGGAAGGGCCGUCGCUCAACGGAUAAAAGCUACCCUGGGGAUAACAGGCUGAUCUCCCCCAAGAGUUCACAUCGACGGGGAGGUUUGGCACCUCGAUGUCGGCUCAUCGCAUCCUGGAGCUGAAGUCGGUUCCAAGGGUUGGGCUGUUCGCCCAUUAAAGCGGUACGCGAGCUGGGUUCAGAACGUCGUGAGACAGUUCGGUCCCUAUCUGUCGUGGGCGCAGGAGGUUUGAGGAGAGCUGCCCCUAGUACGAGAGGACCGGGGUGGACGGACCGAUGGUGCACCAGUUGUCACGCCAGUGGCACAGCUGGGCAGCCAAGUCCAGACGGGAUAAGCGCUGAAGGCAUCUAAGCGUGAAGCCCCCUCCAAGAUGAGACCUCCCAUUGGCGACAAGUAAGGCCCCUCGAAGACGACGAGGUUGAUAGGCCGCGAGUGCAAGCGCAGCGAUGUGCUUAGCGGGGCGGUACUAAUAGGCCGAGGACUUGGCC